AAUCUUAUUUCUCAAAUUUCAUGCAGGGUGUAGUGACAAAGGUGAAUGUUCGAGUGAUGGCGUUAAAUCUUGUGACAUCACUGGUGGUGAGAGUCCAGUUACCAGAAAGAGAGCUCAUCGUCCAACCCUGAAAAGUUUUAAAUCUACAAAUGAGAAUUGUUCUAAUCCUUCACCAAUAUCUAAUGCAACUGAGGACCAUACUAGCCGAUCCCCUAGUGAUAGAGAUGAUGUAUUAUCUCUUAAUGAUUCCAGUUCCCCAAAUUCUCCUGGAAACCAUUCAGCAGGCUCUGCUGACCAUUUUUUAGCAAUUGAUGAUUCAUUUGAUUCAAGUCAUGAUGAUUCACCUCUCUCUAAGAGAACUCGCCACUCUUCCAAGCGUAUAGAUUCUGAUUCUUCUGAUUCUAAUAGUAAAAAUGAAAAUUUUCGACAAAAGGAGAAGGCAUAGUCACCAGCCUUCCUCCUUUUCUGAAGAGAAGAGAUUGGUCACAGCACAGUCGAUGUGAAAGGACAAAGCGAAAGAUGAUAUCAGCUAUUGGAUCUCAUUCCAUAGAUGCAUAUUUCCCUAUUCUUAAUAAAAUGGAAGUUGUACUGAGGGAAAAUGAAGAGUUAAAGAAAAAGUUAGUGGAAGCUAUGAAAAUGAACUUUAAAGCUAAAGAGCAGGAAUUUGACUGCCCUACUGCUGGUGGGCCAUAGGGUCUCACCUGACCAGUGCCCUGUCGCUCCUAGGCGCACCAGUAGCACGUAGCACUGGGUCAACAUGGGGUCCCUCUAGCGGCCGCUCUUAGUUCCCAACUUGAAAUGCGAUCUAAGUCGGGAAAGCGUUGUCUUUGGUGGUGGCUAGAUUUUGCACAGGGUCGCUUCGAGGUCAAAACGAUUUUUAGAGAGUGCAACCUCUGAAAUCUCCAUCGUUAACCGUCGACCUUUUUGAUACGGGCCAAGGGUCGCUCGGCCAAGCCUUUUUCAACAGCGGUCACUCGGAAAAUCCUUUCUCGCAGGAAGGCAUCGUAAAAGACUACAGCAUUGAGAUACUAGAUGAAAGACAGGCCGGUUGAAAUAUUUCAUCAUAUGAAAGACUUGAAAAGUUGAAAAGCUACACCGACUACCGAGGGGGCCUCUACUCUCUUGUAGGAUGUUCACCAGAUUGCCAAGAUUGCCAUAGAUUGCUUUACGAAUGUUUAGCUUUAAGGGCAUAAACCGCCUGUAACUAGGCAAAACGCACUAAUGUCUCCCUGAAUGUAGGCAAAAAGCAUGGCUUUUGCAGCCGAUUACCUAGAGAUUGCCGAAGUUUAUCGUAGAUUGCCGGGGUGGGUGUACACCAGAUUGCCGGAGUUGAGGCCCCCUCGCCAACUACACCAUACGAAAGACGAAAACAGUUACACCUUAAGCAAGUCUGCAAGCCCAUAGUGUGCGGCGAGCCAUUUGUAAUGGUCCCGGGAGAGUAGGCAGCCUCCCAUUGGCUCCCGUCACCAGCUUCUAGUACCAGCCGCUAGGGCGCGGUAGCCCGCAUGGAAAAAAGUGUUCCACAAGACCACACCACGCCCCCGGACGCCAAGGGAGCCCGCGCAACCACCCUUCUGUGCGGGCGAGCAAGACAAGUGCGGGCAGCUCACGUGUACACCGCCGAGGCGGCGGCCAACUGUCACAGGCCCCUCGCCGAUAAGGACCAGAGCGCCAGCGCAUCGCGCUUGGCGCGAAUAGCGGCCAGUGAGACACGGGCGUCCAGUCAGUGAAGGUUCUUCGUCACCGCCAUGAGAACCCUUCUAGUGGCCAUUCUGACGGUAGUGGCGGUGGUCGCCGCCGCGGCUGCGGCCGGUAGCGAGGACUUCUGCUCGCGGUGCGACACCAGCGGCCUGCGGUACCGGCUCGUCCGCGGCGCGGCCGAGGCGGAGGCCUGCGACUGCGACCGCGGCAGGGAGGAGCGGUGCUUCCUGUGGAUGCUGGGCCGCAGGUUCAACGAGGAGGCACAGCGGUGCGAGUUCAACUUCGACUGCCACGCGUGGCUGGCCGACAACAACACCACUGGGCUAAAGCGGGGUUGACCCCGCUCUGGGGAUACCGCGCGGGAAUUUCUUUGUAUUUUUUAAAAUGUAGUAUUGGUGUUCUCUGACUUUCUGUUCUACAAAAGCAGAUCAGAAAAUGCAAUGAAAUAUCAAUGUAUUUGAAAUAAACUUUUACUCGAACCCGAGAAGACUUUAGAAAUGCACUCAUUAUUCAUCGAGUUACGUGAAGUGACCCUUGUUCCAAGACCAUGCUACCCCUCCUAUUUUUAGCAGAUGACACCUUACAUUUAGACUAAACAUAACCAUACCUUAGUAAAGGAAGGUGUCAUCGGCUUUAACUCUCGAUAAAGAAACAAUAAAGAGAACCAAUGGCAAGCUC
Long non-coding RNA from Frankliniella occidentalis (western flower thrips), 2379 nucleotides. RefSeq lists it as uncharacterized. The transcript has 4 exons. NCBI's taxonomy places the organism in Eukaryota, Metazoa, Arthropoda, Insecta, Thysanoptera, Thripidae. The record is from RefSeq and is a predicted model, not a curated record.